UGCGGGCGUCCCCAUCGCGAAAGAAAAAUCUCCUUUCCCUUCUCCACGGCUGCACCUUCAUCCUCUCCCUCCCUUGCCGCAUCGACCCCCCUGUCCCGCACUCCCUCUCGCCGGCCGGCGGCAGCUCUGGCCGGCAGGGCGAAGCCACCGGAAUCAUGGCCAAGUCUGGUGCCCGUAAGGAGGCGGCACCCGCCCGGUCAACGGCGACCUCGCCGCCGCCGCAGCGCGUCCCCGGCGCCCCGGCAGGCUCGUGCGCCAGCCGGUUGCCACAGCCGCUCUUCUACACCGGCGCUCCGACUCGCUCGUCCACCAGUCCGUCGACACCGCCGCACCUGUACCUCCCUCUCAUGGAAUAAUCUACUGCAAACCCUAUAUGGAGGCCAAUGUACACCCAUCCACCUGAUGGACCGAUCAGCUACUCUAAUUUAUGUGAGAGAAUAUAUCUAGUGGAAACCAUACAUUCAGAGGAAACAUGGAAACCCAAACGUGUGCCGUUGGAUUGGAUGCGUACUCUGUGAGAUGGAAAGAGGUACAAUUUGCAAAUUGAACCCCGAAAGAAUCCUGUAACUUAGGUACAGAAACAUCCCAUGGCGGCUGAGCCGUCCCGUGCCUUUCCCCAUGGAGGUAUCAUCCCGAUUCGAAAGGAAAAAUCAAUCAUCCAGAUUCGAAAUUCUUUUAUGGGUUAGGAGACCUGUUGGGAGAUGAUGCUUCCCUCCGGCAGGACCCCCUCGUUCCGCGCUGGGCUGGCGAGGGGCGAGCGGCGCGGUUAAUUCCUCUCCGGCGGUUGUGUCCGGCCAAGCGUGCGAGUCUCCGAGCGUUUCGGGCAGGGCCGGCGAGCGGCGUUCCGGGCAGGGCCGGCGAGCGGCGUCCCGGGCAGGGCCAGCGAGCGGCGCUUCUGAUUCGUCUCCGGCCAACAGUGCCGGUCCUCCGAGCAUUCCCCAUCGAUGUCAUACUAGAUCUAAUCCCAAGAUUGGGCUAGGUUUGCCAAGCAAACAGAGGAGGGGACAAGGACGUGGCUCAUUGGGCUGUCUCCUCCAAGAUCAGCACAUCAUUUGAAGGAAGUAGGAGAGGAAACGAGGUAGUGGCAUCUUGCCUACAGCUGCUGAUUUCCCCUGAGUCGUACUGUCCAGAUUUUGGUCUUGAAGAAAUUGCGAGGUUUGCUGGUGGCAGUAAAGAUCUAUGCAGAUUCCAACCAAAAAAAAAGACUGUUGUUGUGUACUCGAGUUGUGUGCUCAAUGUUUGAUGUAUAAGUGUGAGAUUUACUAUGGCUGUUCAGUUAAUGAUGUGUCUAUCUUGUAACAAAAUUACCUAGCAUAAUGCGGUUGGAACAUUUGCCUUAACUAAUGUAUGUGUUGUUGAAGCGAUGCAUGCAUUACUGCAAGUGAAUUCUGAUACUAGUAGACUAUAUUAAAAUUAGCUUCCUUCAGUUUUC
Molecule: long non-coding RNA, 1432 nt
Organism: Triticum aestivum (bread wheat)
Lineage: Eukaryota; Viridiplantae; Streptophyta; Magnoliopsida; Poales; Poaceae
Exons: 4
Source: RefSeq, a predicted model, not a curated record